UCUCUCUCUCCCCGUUCUGCCCCUGGGCCUCCGGCCUCCACUCCUUCUCCUCGCCCAUACCCAUCCAUUGUCUUUAUUUUCUUUCUGGUGGGACUUUUCCUUCUCCUCCCGCCUGCGUGACACGGGGGAGGAGGGGAGGUGGGGUUAGUUGCUCACCUCACCUCACCUGCAUGUGACAUUUACUAUCCUACCACCGCCACCUGGGACGGACAGUUGGCCGGAGGGAAAGGUGCUCGCGAAAUCACACUGUGAUUUUAGGGAUGAUGAUAAUCGUAGGUGUAGGAGCGGUGGAUGGUUUCCACGGUAGGUGGCUGGUCCCGAACCAACCCCCUCCCUGGCCACGGAGAGCCAGCCCAACCCAACCCCCGGGAAAGGACGGGCGCGAGCAUAUAUGAUGGGUAUCCUAUUCCCAUAGGGUCUGUGGCUGUGGCUUUGGCUCUGCUGUUGGGCUCACGGCACCACCUGGAACAGUGCAACCACCACACCUCACCACCCACAACCAUUACUCCAUCCAUCCAGAGAGCCAGAGAGGAGAGGGGCAAUCCCGUCAUCGCACCCCCGCGUCACGUCGUCCUCGCCCGCCGCUCCGUUGCGUUCUGUUGCGUCGUGAUUAAUGCCACGGAACGGACGCCACUUGGCCGACCCAACCGCCCCGGGCCUCCGGAUGCCGAAACGUGUCCCGGGCGGACGGCCGCGAUCGACGGGCUUGCGGCUGAUGCUUCAUGGCCGGUUGCGCGGUUGGGGGUUAGGCGCCAUCCGAUCCCUCGUGCUGUUCCUCUCCCCUUGUAUUUUCUUUAAGAGAAAAAAAAAUAAAACUAGUGUUGUUCCUUUCUUUGUUGCUGCGUCAACGGCCAGACCUCCAACCGCCAGCCGGCUCGGUUCGUGGCCUCGUGGGCUCCUCCCCCUCUUUCGGCCGCGUGCCAUUUUGUGCCCCGUUUGAUCGGCAUCGGAUGAGAAGACCGUGGAAGCAUCUCCGGCACCGGCAGGACAAGUUAACAACCAGAGUAGGCCGUCACCAGAUUCUCACCGACCAAAACCAACUUACUAAAAACUGGGACAAAAACAGAAUACACCUGCCUGCGAUGCUCGGCAAAAAAAAUUACUCCCCUCAGCUCCACUCCACUCAUGCGGUGGCAUCGCAGCAUCCUGGGUGUGAAGCUCGUGAGCCGAAAGCGGAAAGGGAAAAAGGCCAAGCAAAGCAAAGCAAAGCUGUGAUGGGUGUGGUGUGUGCUGCCCUGGGUGGCUAGGCUCAUCCAUGUGACGACCUUUUUAGGCUUUUUACUGCUGAUGA
Molecule: long non-coding RNA, 1291 nt
Organism: Hordeum vulgare subsp. vulgare (domesticated barley)
Lineage: Eukaryota; Viridiplantae; Streptophyta; Magnoliopsida; Poales; Poaceae
Exons: 2
Source: RefSeq, a predicted model, not a curated record